This 898-nucleotide ribosomal RNA is filed under the name Escherichia coli. RNAcentral's name for it is "partial 23S ribosomal RNA". It matches the Rfam family "Bacterial large subunit ribosomal RNA", at positions 253 to 1191 of the family's 2925-position model. The record is from RNAcentral. Lineage: Bacteria; Pseudomonadati; Pseudomonadota; Gammaproteobacteria; Enterobacterales; Enterobacteriaceae.
GCGAACGGGGAGGAGCCCAGAGCCUGAAUCAGUGUGUGUGUUAGUGGAAGCGUCUGGAAAGGCGCGCGAUACAGGGUGACAGCCCCGUACACAAAAAUGCACAUGCUGUGAGCUCGAUGAGUAGGGCGGGACACGUGGUAUCCUGUCUGAAUAUGGGGGGACCAUCCUCCAAGGCUAAAUACUCCUGACUGACCGAUAGUGAACCAGUACCGUGAGGGAAAGGCGAAAAGAACCCCGGCGAGGGGAGUGAAAAAGAACCUGAAACCGUGUACGUACAAGCAGUGGGAGCACGCUUAGGCGUGUGACUGCGUACCUUUUGUAUAAUGGGUCAGCGACUUAUAUUCUGUAGCAAGGUUAACCGAAUAGGGGAGCCGAAGGGAAACCGAGUCUUAACUGGGCGUUAAGUUGCAGGGUAUAGACCCGAAACCCGGUGAUCUAGCCAUGGGCAGGUUGAAGGUUGGGUAACACUAACUGGAGGACCGAACCGACUAAUGUUGAAAAAUUAGCGGAUGACUUGUGGCUGGGGGUGAAAGGCCAAUCAAACCGGGAGAUAGCUGGUUCUCCCCGAAAGCUAUUUAGGUAGCGCCUCGUGAAUUCAUCUCCGGGGGUAGAGCACUGUUUCGGCAAGGGGGUCAUCCCGACUUACCAACCCGAUGCAAACUGCGAAUACCGGAGAAUGUUAUCACGGGAGACACACGGCGGGUGCUAACGUCCGUCGUGAAGAGGGAAACAACCCAGACCGCCAGCUAAGGUCCCAAAGUCAUGGUUAAGUGGGAAACGAUGUGGGAAGGCCCAGACAGCCAGGAUGUUGGCUUAGAAGCAGCCAUCAUUUAAAGAAAGCGUAAUAGCUCACUGGUCGAGUCGGCCUGCGCGGAAGAUGUAACGGGGCUAAACCAUG